This 478-nucleotide long non-coding RNA is filed under the name Oryza sativa Indica Group (long-grained rice). RNAcentral's name for it is "lncRNA OsZS97_08G008350". The record is from RNAcentral. Lineage: Eukaryota; Viridiplantae; Streptophyta; Magnoliopsida; Poales; Poaceae.
UACUCGCAUCAGACUGAGAAAGGCCGUUUGGGUUCGCCGGUUUUCCACCGCCGCCACCGCCUCCCCAUCUCGAUCCGAAUCGCCGGCCUCCUCCCGCCGGCGAUCUGCCUGGCCGGCAUUCUCGCCUGCCGUCUAUCUGCUCGGUCUGUGCCGCCGGAGUCGAUCCGCGCGGCCGACCUCCUCGAGUCGCCGAUCCAAGCGGUUGCCCGCUGGCAUCGGUCCACGGCGGCGGCCAUCCGCGCGCAUCGUUGUCUUCAGGCCUUGGCGAAGCCAGGGAAUCCAAAGGUUAGACCGCAUAACUUUCAGGUGAUAUUAGGGCCCUACAAGUUAGUGCUGUGCCGGCCAUUGGAAUAUGAUACUUGAUGUAACGAAAUGAUCAAUUAUUGAGGCCUAACAAUGUUCUUUACAUUGAUCCACGAGGAGUGUUGAAGUUGAGAAAGAUGCUGACAAGAUAUCAACCAGACCCACUCAGCAUCCU